AAAAUAGGGCCGAACAGCCUCAGAGCAGUUAUAAGUAUCCGAGGCCACGAAGCACAAUCACGAAAGUAGCCCUACUAAACUUCUGACCCCACGAAAACCAUAAAACAAACUGGGAUUAGAUACCCCACUAUGUAUGAUUGUUAACAUCGAUGAUUCAAUACCCAAAUCAUCCGCCUGGGUAAUACGAGCGCUAGCUUAAAAUCCAAAGGACUUGGCGGUGCUUUAGACCCCCCUAGAGGAGCCUGUUCUAGAACUGAUAACCCCCGUUAAACCUCACCAUCCCUUGUUUAAUCCGCCUAUAUACCACCGUCGUCAGCUUACCCUGUGAAGGAAAUAUAGUAAGCAUAAAUGGCAAAGCCAUAAACGUCAGGUCGAGGUGUAGCGAAUGGGCUGGGAAGAAAUGGGCUACAUUCUCUACCAUAGAGAAUACGAAUGGCAGUUUGAAAAAACUGCCUUGAAGGAGGAUUUAGCAGUAAGCAGAGAAUAGAGAGCUCUGCUGAAAACGGCCCUAAAACGCGCACACACCGCCCGUCACUCUCUCCAAAUACUCAUAAUUAUUUACCUAAAAUAUUUAAACUAACAAGGAGAGGCAAGUCGUAA
Molecule: ribosomal RNA, 600 nt
Filed under: Gaidropsarus ensis (threadfin rockling)
Lineage: Eukaryota; Metazoa; Chordata; Actinopteri; Gadiformes; Gaidropsaridae
Description: partial 12S ribosomal RNA
Rfam family: Bacterial small subunit ribosomal RNA
Source: RNAcentral